AUUGAACGCUGGCGGAAUGCUUUACACAUGCAAGUCGAACGGCAGCACGGGGCAACCUGGUGGCGAGUGGCGAACGGGUGAGUAAUACAUCGGAACGUGCCCAAUCGUGGGGGAUAACGUAGCGAAAGUUACGCUAAUACCGCAUACGAUCUACGGAUGAAAGCGGGGGAUCGCAAGACCUCGCGCGAAUGGAGCGGCCGAUGUCAGAUUAGGUAGUUGGUGGGGUAAAGGCUCACCAAGCCGACGAUCUGUAGCUGGUCUGAGAGGACGACCAGCCACACUGGGACUGAGACACGGCCCAGACUCCUACGGGAGGCAGCAGUGGGGAAUUUUGGACAAUGGGCGCAAGCCUGAUCCAGCCAUUCCGCGUGCAGGAUGAAGGCCUUCGGGUUGUAACUGCUUUGUACGGUAACGAAACGGUUCGUACUCUAUACAGGGGGCUAAGUGACGGUACCGUAAGAAUAAGCAC
Molecule: ribosomal RNA, 469 nt
Filed under: uncultured bacterium
Lineage: Bacteria
Description: bacterial SSU rRNA
Rfam family: Bacterial small subunit ribosomal RNA
Source: RNAcentral